Molecule: ribosomal RNA, 405 nt
Filed under: uncultured bacterium
Lineage: Bacteria
Description: bacterial SSU rRNA
Rfam family: Bacterial small subunit ribosomal RNA
Source: RNAcentral
CAGCAGCCGCGGUAAUACGGAGGAUGCAAGCGUUAUCCGGAUUCAUUGGGUUUAAAGGGUGCGCAGGCGGAAUAAUAAGUCAGUGGUGAAAGCCUACAGCUUAACUGUAGAACUGCCAUUGAUACUGUCAUUCUUGAGUAUUGUUGAGGUAGGCGGAAUGUGUCAUGUAGCGGUGAAAUGCUUAGAUAUGACACAGAACACCGAUCGCGAAGGCAGCUUACCAAGCAAUAACUGACGCUCAUGCACGAAAGCGUGGGGAUCAAACAGGAUUAGAUACCCUGGUAGUCCACGCCGUAAACGAUGAUCACUCGAUGUUGGCGAUACACAGUCAGCGUCUUAGCGAAAGUAUUAAGUGAUCCACCUGGGGAGUACGGUCGCAAGAUUGAAACUCAAAGGAAUUGACGG